This 500-nucleotide ribosomal RNA is filed under the name Mycolicibacterium chubuense. RNAcentral describes it as "bacterial SSU rRNA". It matches the Rfam family "Bacterial small subunit ribosomal RNA", at positions 1 to 522 of the family's 1533-position model. Lineage: Bacteria; Bacillati; Actinomycetota; Actinomycetes; Mycobacteriales; Mycobacteriaceae. The record is from RNAcentral.
UGGAGAGUUUGAUCCUGGCUCAGGACGAACGCUGSCGGCGUGCUUAACACAUGCAACUCGAACGGAAAGGCCCUUCGGGGUACUCGAGUGGCGAACGGGUGAGUAACACGUGGGUGAUCUGCCCUGCACUUUGGGAUAAGCCUGGGAAACUGGGUCUAAUACCGGAUAGGACCACGGCAUGCAUGUGCUGUGGUGGAAAGCUUUUGCGGUGUGGGAUGGGCCCGCGGCCUAUCAGCUUGUUGGUGAGGUUACGGCUCACCAAGGCGACGACGGGUAGCCGGCCUGAGAGGGUGUCCGGCCACACUGGGACUGAGAUACGGCCCAGACUCCUACGGGAGGCAGCAGUGGGGAAUAUUGCACAAUGGGCGCAAGCCUGAUGCAGCGACGCCGCGUGAGGGAUGACGGCCUUCGGGUUGUAAACCUCUUUCGCCAGGGACGAAGCGCAAGUGACGGUACCUGGAGAAGAAGCACCGGCCAACUACGUGCCAGCAGCCGCGGUA